RNAcentral lists this long non-coding RNA (2127 nucleotides) under Rattus norvegicus (Norway rat). RNAcentral's name for it is "long non-coding RNA NONRATT007338". The record is from RNAcentral. Lineage: Eukaryota; Metazoa; Chordata; Mammalia; Rodentia; Muridae.
CAUGGCAUGAACAGGUCUUAUAUUGGGCGUGGCCUAAGGCACAGGUGAGGGGUCCUUUGAUGGGCGUCUGUGGGACCUGGAUGUAGGGUUGGGGUUCCAGGACAGCAGGGGAGAUGGGGUCAGGCAGAGACUCCUUAGGCUGGGCCUUGCAUGGAGGUGGGGCUUGCACGUGGCGUGGCCUUUGGGAUUAGGUGGGCGGGGCUUCGGAGACAAGUGUGCAUGGGAGUUGGGGGGACGAUCCCCAGGAGGGACGAUCCACAGGAGGGCGUAGCCGGGGCAUCCAUCCGCCCCACAGGAAGGGACAUUAUCCCGUGACCCCGCCCCUGGCACCCACUCCCAGCCCACUUCCUGUUUCUGGACCUGGCUUCGCUGUCUUCCGUCCGCAGCUUUGUGCGCAACUUUGAGGCCACAGCACUGCCACUGCACCUGCUCAUCAACAACGGUGAGGGCAGGGCCUGGGGUGGGGGCACAGUGCUGACUGGCUCCUGAUAUCUUCACUGUGGGCCUCUGACAUCGCCCAGAUACAUGGGCCAGAAUCACACAGGCCACAUUUGCAUAUGCAAAUAAGCCUGUGACUUUUAAUUGCCAGCCAGCAAAUCAGACCGUUAAUAUGCAUGGAGAAAUCUUAUCAGGAAUAUUUCCAAGUGUGCGAAACACCCUGUUUUGUGGAUUUUUUUCCACGUGGGUGAGACUGACCUUUUCCCGUUUCUGUCCUUCCCGGAUAUGUCACUUCCAGGUUGGUGGGACCUGGAAGAACUUCCUGUGGGUGUGUCUUCUUGGUCCCAUUGAUUUUUUCCUGGUGGGCAGGACUUCUUGUCUCCUGUCUCUACUCGUUUCCUGUGAGCCUGCCUCCUGUGUGACUUGUCCUUGACCUCACCCCACCCCCUGCAGCCGGUGUUAUGCUGGACCCGAGUGGCAACACCAAGGACGGAUUCGAGCGCCACGUGGGCGUGAACUUUUUAGGCCACUUCCUGCUGACUUCCCUGCUGUUGCCAGCCCUGCGGGCCUCUGGGCACCAGGGACGCAAGUCGCGCGUCAUCACUGUCUGCUCCUCCACUCACUGGGUGGGCCAGGCGGAUGUGGCCAGGCUGCUGGGGCAGAGGUGAGCACUGGGGGAAGGGAGGAGAACUUUGCUCAGAGAGCAUGCCCUCGGGGUUUGUCAUAGCUGCUGGGGCAGAGCAUGGCGGAGUUGGCAGGUGCGGGGCCUGGGUGAGGACAAGGCCUGGGAGGUGCCCCAGAUGACAUCACUUCUUGUUGAUUGGUGAGGCGGAGACGUCUUUCCUGCAUCUUCUCCAGGCCUGGUAAGGGCCAAGAUGUCCCCACACUUAUUGGGGUGAUUUGCAUGCUCAAAUGACCCAGGUAGCCAUGUUAGCUUGUGCAUAUUAAUGACUUGAUUUGUAUAUUCAAGAGAGGGCGGCCAUUGUGGUGAGUGAAGGGUGGACAGGUUGGUGAUACUACCUAGGUGGUGAUUGACAGGUGUUUGGGGCUAUGGUGUCAUCAGAAGUUUAACAGGUGGGUGGGGCCCAGGGCAUGACUGACAGUUUGGUGGGGACGUGUCAUCCCAUAUUUGACAGACAGGUGGGUGGGACCCCAGGCUGUGGCUGGCAGGUGGACUGGGCUGAGAUGACGCCCUCCCCAUUCUCUGGGUGGGCGUGUCCUGGCCACCACUGCCCUGGGUACCACCCUGACCCAGACCCUGCCCCACAGCCCUGCCCCCUGUGCCCUGGCUGCAUACGCUGGCAGCAAACUGGCCCUGGCUCUGUUCUCCUUGCGGCUGCAGCGCUUGCUCAGUGCCCUGGGCGACCCUGUCACUGCCAACAUUGUCGACCCAGGCGUGGUUGACACCGCACUCUUCGCCCAUGCUGGGUGGGGGACCCGCGCAGUGCAGCGCUUCCUGGGAUGGCUGCUGUUCAAGACCCCCGAUGAGGGGGCUUGGACCUCAGUGUAUGCAGCAGCAUCGCCCAAGCUCGAAGGGAUCGGAGGUCGCUACCUGCGGGACGAGGCGGAGGCUGAGGUGCUGGGGGCUGCGAGAGACCUGGAGCUGCAGGGGCAUCUGUGGGCAGAGUCUUGUAGACUGACUGGCGCGGCCUGGGUGGCGGUCGGGGAAUAAAGGUGUCAUCUUCCUGC